AAGUGCUGCGACACCUGUCACCCCAUUGAUUGCAUGGCUGAAUUUGGCUGUUCUGACUGGCUAGGCAAGUAUGCUCUUCCUCCCUCCGUGUGCGUCCCUUUCAAAGCUGUGCAUGCUUGGUCAAAUAGGACGACCUUUCUCAAAUUGAGGAGGACAGGUCUUCUGUCAAGGGUAAAUGAGUAGCUGUGCCUGCUAGGACCUCUAAAUAAGCUCUCAAUUUGCCUCUUGAGCUCUAGAAAAUCGUGAUCCACCAUCUCUUCAGAGACUACCUGACAUCA
This 278-nucleotide small nuclear RNA is filed under the name Microtus ochrogaster (prairie vole). Its description in RNAcentral is "7SK RNA (ENSMOCG00000006132.1)". It matches the Rfam family "7SK RNA". Rfam says of the family: 7SK was discovered as an abundant small nuclear RNA in the mid-70s but a possible function has only recently been suggested. Two independent studies have found that 7SK RNA binds the CDK9/cyclin T complex (known as elongation factor P-TEFb). P-TEFb activates transcription by phosphorylating the C-terminal domain of RNA polymerase II. The record is from RNAcentral. Lineage: Eukaryota; Metazoa; Chordata; Mammalia; Rodentia; Cricetidae.